This 181-nucleotide ribosomal RNA is filed under the name Clostridium perfringens. Its description in RNAcentral is "partial 23S ribosomal RNA". It matches the Rfam family "Bacterial large subunit ribosomal RNA", at positions 2748 to 2925 of the family's 2925-position model. The record is from RNAcentral. Lineage: Bacteria; Bacillati; Bacillota; Clostridia; Eubacteriales; Clostridiaceae.
GCUAAGUCGGGAAUGGAUAAACGCUGAAAGCAUCUAAGCGUGAAGCCAACCUCAAGAUGAGAUUUCCCAUAGCAUAAGCUAGUAAGAUCCCUUGAAGAACACAAGGUUGAUAGGUCGGGGGUGUAAGCAUGGUAACAUGUUCAGCUGACCGAUACUAAUAGAUCGAGGGCUUGACCAAAUA